UUAUUAUUAUUAUUAUUAUUAUUAUAUAUACCCAACUGAGACAGACUUUGAUCCACUUAGCAUGCCAGGACAAAAAAAUAUUAAAGCAAGAAAACAAUUAUAAAAACAAUUAAAACAAAAAAAAAAUGAAGUUAAAUCAAUUAGAGCACAUUUUCCCCAGCCGUCAGUAAUCACCAGGCUCUGUAAAUACACACGUGACCGUGUCUGACCUGUGGCUCAGGGUGGGAUUAUGGCCUGUACUGACAGCUCAAUGACAGGCCUAAACAUAUGAUUGACAGUCACAUAAUAAAGUAGAGUGGCAGAUGCGCGUCCGGAAAACUUAUUAAACUUAUUAAGUGCAACCGCAACAACUAGAAACGUGAAAACAAUGACCAUAAACCUGAACAGAGGACAAAAACUCACAGACUGUAAGAGAGACUGCGGCACACACGAACACGUCAACAACAAAAGCUUGACCACAAGACGCUGAAACGCAGGAACUCACACAGUGGUGCUAAUCAAGGUGAAACCAGACACAGGUGAGAGUGUUUGAAAGCGGUCCUCAUGCGAGAUGUCUCUAUGCUGAAAAAGGCCUUAGGCUGACAAAGUUCCUUAAGAGCGAUAUCCUUAGUGUAGCUGGCAGGAGAUGUGAAAUCCUCCACAAGGCAGUGAGGCAGAGCAAUCCCUUCUGCAUAGCUAAGGAGUGGCGCAAUGUCCAAGGCAGCGCAUGGAGCAUGUGACAUCCAUCAUGAAGCCAGAGGGGGAGCGACAUUCUCUGCAAAGCAAUAGGGGGGAGCAACAUACACCACGAAGCAGGGGGAGGAGCGAUGUCCUUAGUGAUACAAGGAAGCAGCGCGGCGUCUCCAUGGCGAGGCUGUGAGCUGUAAGGUCCUUAGUUCAGCAAGGAGGCAGAGCAAUGUCCGAACUGGGGCAGGAAGGGGGGUAGAUGGUUCUAGGUAGGUCGGGAGCUACAGUUUCCAUGAAAAGGGGCAGAAACUUCUGUCAUUUCUACCGACCUUUGAUCACCAAGAGCCAGCACAGUACAUUAUAGAAGACUACAUAUCACAUCAAUCUUCCUAUACCCGAUGUGAUCUUCUGCUCUUACAGCCCAUCCACUUCCAGAUCAAACGUGCUGUGCAUUCUGAUACGCUUCUCUGCUCACUAGUUGUAAAGAGCGGUUAUUCGAGUUACUGUAGACUUCCUGUCAGACUGAAACAGUCUCGCCAUUCUCCUCUGACCUCUCUCAUCAACAAGGCUCUUCCGCCCAACGCUGCUCGCUGAAUGUUUUUUGUUUUCUACACCAGUCUGUGUAAACUCUGGAGACUAUAGAGACAUCAGCAGUUUCUGAAAUAUUCAAACCAGUCAGUGUGACACGAUCAACCAUGCUACUGUCAAACCAUGCUCACUGAGUUCACAUUUUACCCCAGUCUGAUGUUCGAUGUGAACAUUAACUCAAGCUCUUGUUCCUGUUAAAGUAUCCGGGGAAUAUUUUCAACAUUCACAUUGUCUUGGUUUCUGUAAAAGCUUAGUUCAGUGUAAACUACAUAUAGUUUAUCGGGGAUUAAAGCAUUCGCACAGAACUUAACCUUGUAAGGUGUUAAACCAAACAAAUGUAACCAAACUGAAUUUGCAUGAUUAAAUAAUUACAUAUAAAAACACAGAAUUAUGUGUGUAGUUACAGGAAUUAGUUAAAUGUCUUAGUAUUUUAGGUAUAAGUAUUUCACAAUGUAAAGUACAAUUGCAUCAAUGUGUGUGUAUGUGUGUGUGUGUGUGUGUGUGUGUGUGUGUGUGUGUGUGAGUGUGUGUGUCCCAGACCCCCUCAUUCUUCCUGUUAAUCAUAACAAAACAGGAGGGGUUCACACAUAGAGUGGUCAAAGAGUCUAUUCAUAGUGCAUACCAUCUGCUGAAACACAAAACUCACAAAUUUCAGCACUCCGAGUCUGGGAACAUAGAAUACACACACACACACACACACACACACACACACACACACACACCUAUAUUCAGCCACAUAUUCAGCGACCCUGAAUAAUUGCAUUGCAAUGCAUACCAUUUAUACAAUAUUUAUUUUUAAUUAUUUAUUAUUUUUAUAAACAUCUAAUUAAAUAUAUAAUGUAUUUAUUCUUAUUAAAUCAAAUUUUUAGUCUAAUUAAAUAUUGUCCUAAAAGAAAUUCCAACAAACACUUAGAGUCACCGUGUUUCUGUGUGAAAUGGCAUUAAGGGCCCUACUGUAUGUACGCUCUACAGCACCAUCACAUCACAGCCCACGCAGCAAGCACGGAGACAGUCGAAACCCUUUGACACCAAACGUGUGACCGAGGAGGUUAGAAUAUUUCUGUACAGAUGAGGUGCUGCUCUAGCCGGUCUAUAGGAGGUGCUUCAAAGUUCAAAUAAUUGAAUGCAGGUAUUUAUUUACCCACAGCCAAGGUAAAGCUCGUCUUCAUUACUUUUUACAAUGUCAUUAAUGUUAGCAAUGUAUUUCUGAAUAAAAUGUGUGUGGACAAUUAGCAAGCUUGUUCCAGAAUCAUCCAGAACUCCUUUUUCAGAAUGAAUCAUUACACAAAGUGUUACACACACACACACACAC
Molecule: long non-coding RNA, 2566 nt
Organism: Ictalurus punctatus (channel catfish)
Lineage: Eukaryota; Metazoa; Chordata; Actinopteri; Siluriformes; Ictaluridae
Source: Ensembl